RNAcentral lists this ribosomal RNA (438 nucleotides) under uncultured bacterium. RNAcentral describes it as "bacterial SSU rRNA". It matches the Rfam family "Bacterial small subunit ribosomal RNA", at positions 954 to 1392 of the family's 1533-position model. The record is from RNAcentral.
GCAUAACGCGAAGAACCUUACCCACCUUUGACAUGUACGGAAUCCUUUAGAGAUAGAGGAGUGCUCGAAAGAGAGCCGUAACACAGGUGCUGCAUGGCUGUCGUCAGCUCGUGUCGUGAGAUGUUGGGUUAAGUCCCGCAACGAGCGCAACCCUUGCCAUUAGUUGCUACAUUUAGUUGAGCACUCUAAUGGGACUGCCGGUGACAAACCGGAGGAAGGUGGGGAUGACGUCAAGUCCUCAUGGCCCUUAUAGGUGGGGCUACACACGUCAUACAAUGGCUGGUACAAAGGGUUACCAACCCGCGAGGGGGAGCUAAUCCCAUAAAGCCAGUCGUAGUCCGGAUCGCAGUCUGCAACUCGACUGCGUGAAGUCGGAAUCGCUAGUAAUCGUGGAUCAGAAUGUCACGGUGAAUACGUUCCCGGGUCUUGUACACACCG